RNAcentral lists this ribosomal RNA (695 nucleotides) under uncultured bacterium. Its description in RNAcentral is "bacterial SSU rRNA". It matches the Rfam family "Bacterial small subunit ribosomal RNA", at positions 387 to 1093 of the family's 1533-position model. The record is from RNAcentral.
CCCAGCAACGCCCCGUGAAGGAAGAAGGCCUUCGGGUUGUAAACUUCUUUUACCAGGGACGAAGAACGUGACGGUACCUGGAGAAAAAGCAACGGCUAACUACGUGCCAGCAGCCGCGGUAAUACGUAGGUUGCAAGCGUUGUCCGGAUUUACUGGGUGUAAAGGGCGUGUAGGCGGAGCUGCAAGUCAGAUGUGAAAUCCCGGGGCUCAACCCCGGAACUGCAUUUGAAACUGUAGCCCUUGAGUAUCGGAGAGGCAAGCGGAAUUCCUAGUGUAGCGGUGAAAUGCGUAGAUAUUAGGAGGAACACCAGUGGCGAAGGCGGCUUGCUGGACGACAACUGACGCUGAGGCGCGAAAGCGUGGGGAGCAAACAGGAUUAGAUACCCUGGUAGUCCACGCUGUAAACGAUGAAUACUAGGUGUGGGAGGACUGACCCCUUCCGUGCCGCAGUUAACACAAUAAGUAUUCCACCUGGGGAGUACGACCGCAAGGUUGAAACUCAAAGGAAUUGACGGGGGCCCGCACAAGCAGUGGAUUAUGUGGUUUAAUUCGACGCAACGCGAAGAACCUUACCAGGAUUUGACAUCCAACUAACGAAGUAGAGAUACAUUAGGUGCCCUUCGGGGGAAAGUUGAGACAGGUGGUGCAUGGGUGUCGUCAGCUCGUGUCGUGAGAUGUUGGGUUAGGUCCGGCAC